RNAcentral lists this ribosomal RNA (497 nucleotides) under uncultured bacterium. Its description in RNAcentral is "partial 16S ribosomal RNA". It matches the Rfam family "Bacterial small subunit ribosomal RNA", at positions 28 to 507 of the family's 1533-position model. The record is from RNAcentral.
GAUGAACGCUGGCGGCGUGCCUAAUACAUGCAAGUCGAGCGAACAGAUGAGGAGCUUGCUCCUCUGACGUUAGCGGCGGACGGGUGAGUAACACGUGGAUAACCUACCUAUAAGACUGGGAUAACUUCGGGAAACCGGAGCUAAUACCGGAUAAUAUAUUGAACCGCAUGGUUCAAUAGUGAAAGACGGUUUUGCUGUCACUUAUAGAUGGAUCCGCGCCGCAUUAGCUAGUUGGUAAGGUAACGGCUUACCAAGGCAACGAUGCGUAGCCGACCUGAGAGGGUGAUCGGCCACACUGGAACUGAGACACGGUCCAGACUCCUACGGGAGGCAGCAGUAGGGAAUCUUCCGCAAUGGGCGAAAGCCUGACGGAGCAACGCCGCGUGAGUGAUGAAGGUCUUCGGAUCGUAAAACUUUGUUAUUAGGGAAGAACAAAUGUGUAAGUAACUAUGCACGUCUUGACGGUACCUAAUCAGAAAGCCACGGCUAACUACGUG